RNAcentral lists this ribosomal RNA (516 nucleotides) under Eutrypanus dorsalis. RNAcentral's name for it is "partial large subunit ribosomal RNA". The stretch from base 386 to 516 matches the Rfam family "Archaeal large subunit ribosomal RNA", at positions 2542 to 2672 of the family's 2987-position model. The record is from RNAcentral. Lineage: Eukaryota; Metazoa; Arthropoda; Insecta; Coleoptera; Cerambycidae.
GGCUUAUUUGAGAAUAAUUUUAGGUUUGGCCUGCCCACUGAAAUUUUAAAGGGCCGCGGUAUCUUGACCGUGCAAAGGUAGCAUAAUCAUUAGUUUUUUAAUUGAAAGCUAGAAUGAAUGGUUGGAUGAAAAAAUAACUGUUUCAUUUUUAAUUUUUAUGAAUUUUAUUUUUAAGUUAAAAAGCUUAAAUUUAAUUAAAAGACGAGAAGACCCUAUAGAUUUUAAUAAAAUUAAAAAUUUAAUUUUUUUAGAAUUUUUGUUAUUAAAUUUUUAUUUUUUUUAAUUGGGGUGAUUAUAAAAUUUAAUUAACUUUUAUUUAAAUUAAAUCAAUGAUAAUUGAUUAUUUGAUCCAAUAUUUUUGAUUAAAAGAUUAAAUUACCUUAGGGAUAACAGCGUUAUUUUUUAUGAGAGUUCUAAUCGAAUAAAAAGUUUGCGACCUCGAUGUUGGAUUAAAAUUAAUUUUUGGUGAAGAAGCUAAAAAUAUUAGGUCUGUUCGACCUUUAAAAUUUUACAUGA